Molecule: ribosomal RNA, 451 nt
Filed under: uncultured bacterium
Lineage: Bacteria
Description: bacterial SSU rRNA
Rfam family: Bacterial small subunit ribosomal RNA
Source: RNAcentral
CGGCGGACGGGUGAGUAACGCGUGGGUAACCUGCCUUACACAGGGGGAUAACACUGGGAAACCAGUGCUAAUACCGCAUAACAUCAUUUUAUGGCAUCAUGAAAUGAUCAAAGGAGAAAUCCGGUGUAAGAUGGGCCCGCGUCCGAUUAGCUAGUUGGUGAGGUAAUGGCUCACCAAGGCAGCGAUCGGUAGCCGGACUGAGAGGUUGGCCGGCCACAUUGGGACUGAGACACGGCCCAGACUCCUACGGGAGGCAGCAGUGGGGAAUAUUGCGCAAUGGGGGGAACCCUGACGCAGCGACGCCGCGUGAAGGAAGGAGGCCUUCGGGUUGUAAACUUCUUUGAUUGGGGAAGAAAAAUGACNGUACCCAAAGAACAAGCCACGGCUAACUACGUGCCAGCAGCCGCGGUAAUACGUAGGUGGCGAGCGUUAUCCGGAAUUACUGGGUGUA